RNAcentral lists this ribosomal RNA (164 nucleotides) under uncultured bacterium. RNAcentral describes it as "partial 16S rRNA". It matches the Rfam family "Bacterial small subunit ribosomal RNA", at positions 355 to 511 of the family's 1533-position model. The record is from RNAcentral.
UGGGGAAUAUUGGACAAUGGGCGAAAGCCUGAUCCAGCCAUGCCGCGUGUGUGAAGAAGGUCUUCGGAUUUUAAAGCACUUUAAGUUGGGAGGAAGGGCAGUAAGUUAAUACCUUGCUGUUUUGACGUUACCGACAGAAUAAGCACCGGCUAACUCUGUGCUAG